Molecule: ribosomal RNA, 253 nt
Filed under: uncultured bacterium
Lineage: Bacteria
Description: partial 16S ribosomal RNA
Rfam family: Bacterial small subunit ribosomal RNA
Source: RNAcentral
UACGUAGGGGGCUAGCGUUGUCCGGAUUUAUUGGGCGUAAAGAGCGUGUAGGCGGCCAGGUAGGUCUGCUGUGAAAACUCGAGGCUCAACCUCGAGACGUCGGCGGAAACCAUCUGGCUAGAGUCCGGAAGAGGAGAGUGGAAUUCCUGGUGUAGCGGUGAAAUGCGCAGAUAUCAGGAAGAACACCCGUGGCGAAGGCGGUUCUCUGGGCCUUACCUGACGCUGAGGAGCGAAAGCGUGGGGAGCGAACAGG